GUUGAAGCUGCCUACAAAAUCAACAAGAAGGAUAGGGUGAAGUUGACUAAGCUUCACUGAUCUAAGAUUGGGCACUCUAUUUCGUAGGAUCACUAUUGUCCUGAAAUUGAUGAUUUCCUGAAGGAUAAGGAUAAGGAGCACUAGAUGUUGAAUAAGAAUUUCCUUAAUUUUUCUUUUUGUUCCAUAAUCUACCAUCUCUCCCAUUAUUCUACUGACUUGCACCUUGCUCUAAAUAUC
RNAcentral lists this long non-coding RNA (237 nucleotides) under Capsicum annuum. RNAcentral describes it as "long non-coding RNA (CANN_LNC008369)". The record is from RNAcentral. Lineage: Eukaryota; Viridiplantae; Streptophyta; Magnoliopsida; Solanales; Solanaceae.